Molecule: ribosomal RNA, 327 nt
Filed under: uncultured eukaryote
Lineage: Eukaryota
Description: partial 18S ribosomal RNA
Rfam family: Eukaryotic small subunit ribosomal RNA
Source: RNAcentral
CCCUUAGAUGUUCUGGGCCGCACGCGCGCUACACUGACGAAUGCAACGAGCUUAUAACUUUGGCCGAAAGGUCUGGGUAAUCUCCAAAUUUCGUCGUGAUGGGGAUAGAUUAUUGCAAUUAUUAAUCUUCAACGAGGAAUGCCUAGUAAGCGCAAGUCAUCAGCUUGCGUUGAUUACGUCCCUGCCCUUUGUACACACCGCCCGUCGCUCCUACCGAUUGAAUGGUCCGGUGAAGCGCUCGGACCGCGGCCUCUUGACGGUUCGCUGUCGAUUGGCUGUGGGAAGUUCGUUAAACCUUAUCAUUUAGAGGAAGGAGAAGUCGUAACA